CGCGUAGGCGGCUCUGUUUGUCGCGUGUGAAAGCCCCGGGCUCAACCUGGGAGGUGCGCGCGAGACGGCGGGGCUGGAGUUCGGGAGAGGAGCGUGGAAUUCCCAGUGUAGAGGUGAAAUUCGUAGAUAUUGGGAAGAACACCGGUGGCGAAGGCGGCGCUCUGGACCGAGACUGACGCUGAGGCGCGAAAGCGUGGGGAGCAAACAGGAUUAGAUACCCUGGUAGUCCACGCUGUAAACGAUGUGUGCUAGACGUUGGGAGGCUUAGCCUCUCGGUGUCGCAGCCAACGCGGUAAGCACACCGCCUGGGGAGUACGGCCGCAAGGUUAAA
RNAcentral lists this ribosomal RNA (331 nucleotides) under uncultured bacterium. RNAcentral describes it as "bacterial SSU rRNA". It matches the Rfam family "Bacterial small subunit ribosomal RNA", at positions 568 to 898 of the family's 1533-position model. The record is from RNAcentral.